AGUGAACGCUGGCGGUAGGCCUAACACAUGCAAGUCGAACGGCAGCACAGUAAGAGCUUGCUCUUACGGGUGGCGAGUGGCGGACGGGUGAGGAAUACAUCGGAAUCUACUUUUUCGUGGGGGAUAACGUAGGGAAACUUACGCCAAUACCGCAUACGACCUACGGGUGAAAGCAGGGGAUCUUCGGACCUUGCGCGAUUGAAUGAGCCGAUGUCGGAUUAGCUAGUUGGCGGGGUAAAGGCCCACCAAGGCGACGAUCCGUAGCUGGUCUGAGAGGAUGAUCAGCCACACUGGAACUGAGACACGGUCCAGACUCCUACGGGAGGCAGCAGUGGGGAAUAUUGGACAAUGGGCGCAAGCCUGAUCCAGCCAUACCGCGUGGGUGAAGAGGGCCUUCGGGUUGUAAAGCCCUUUUGUUGGGAAAGAAAAGCAGCAGGUUAAUACCCCGCUGUUCUGACGGUACCCAAAGAAUAAGCACCGGCUAACUUCGUG
Molecule: ribosomal RNA, 492 nt
Filed under: uncultured bacterium
Lineage: Bacteria
Description: partial 16S ribosomal RNA
Rfam family: Bacterial small subunit ribosomal RNA
Source: RNAcentral